GAUGAACGCUGGCGGCGUGCCUAAUACAUGCAAGUCGAGCGAACGGACGAGAAGCUUGCUUCUCUGAUGUUAGCGGCGGACGGGUGAGUAACACGUGGAUAACCUACCUAUAAGACUGGGAUAACUUCGGGAAACCGGAGCUAAUACCGGAUAAUAUUUUGAACCGCAUGGUUCAAAAGUGAAAGACGGUCUUGCUGUCACUUAUAGAUGGAUCCGCGCUGCAUUAGCUAGUUGGUAAGGUAACGGCUUACCAAGGCAACGAUGCAUAGCCGACCUGAGAGGGUGAUCAGCCACACUGGAACUGAGACACGGUCCAGACUCCUACGGGAGGCAGCAGUAGGGAAUCUUCCGCAAUGGGCGAAAGCCUGACGGAGCAACGCCGCGUGAGUGAUGAAGGUCUUCGGAUCGUAAAACUCUGUUAUUAGGGAAGAACAUAUGUGUAAGUAUCUGUGCACAUCUUGACGGUACCUAAUCAGAAAGCCACGGCUAACUACGUG
Molecule: ribosomal RNA, 497 nt
Filed under: uncultured bacterium
Lineage: Bacteria
Description: partial 16S ribosomal RNA
Rfam family: Bacterial small subunit ribosomal RNA
Source: RNAcentral